This 321-nucleotide ribosomal RNA is filed under the name uncultured bacterium. RNAcentral's name for it is "bacterial SSU rRNA". It matches the Rfam family "Bacterial small subunit ribosomal RNA", at positions 84 to 422 of the family's 1533-position model. The record is from RNAcentral.
GCAAUACGGCAGCGGCAGACGGGAGAGUAACACGUGGGAACGUACCCUUCAGUUCGGAACAACCCAGGGAAACUUGGGCUAAUACCGGAUACGCCCUUACGGGGAAAGAUUUAUCGCUGAAGGAUCGGCCCGCGUCUGAUUAGCUAGUUGGUGGGGUAACGGCCCACCAAGGCUACGAUCAGUAGCUGGUCUGAGAGGAUGAUCAGCCUCACUGGGACUGAGACACGGCCCAGACUCCUACGGGAGGCAGCAGUGGGGAAUAUUGGACAAUGGGCGCAAGCCUGAUCCAGCCAUGCCGCGUGGGUGAUGAAGGCCUUCGGG